Molecule: long non-coding RNA, 318 nt
Filed under: Salvia miltiorrhiza (redroot sage)
Lineage: Eukaryota; Viridiplantae; Streptophyta; Magnoliopsida; Lamiales; Lamiaceae
Description: long non-coding RNA (SMIL_LNC011024)
Source: RNAcentral
CUGAUCACGACGUACCUGCUUCAGGUGAUCUUCUUAAUUCCACAUACUGCUUAGGAAAUUAUGUUACUGAUUCUUGUAGAGCUAUUAUUCCAUUCGUUCAUUACUUUCCCUCAGGUUCUACUAGUGAAGCAACUUUGAAUACACCUGAUCUUGUNAGGUUCUACUAGUGAAGCAACUUUGAAUACACCUGAUCUUGUAGAAAGUGGUAGUAAAAAGGUUUCAGCUUGCCUGUUUUCUCCUGAUCCUGACUCGUAUUCUGGAGAGGUUUGGGUGAAGCUCAGUAGACAUGUGCCUUCUGUCAUAGAAAAUCUCCAAAAG